UACGUAGGUGGCAAGCGUUGUCCGGAAUUAUUGGGCGUAAAGCGCGCGCAGGCGGUCCUUUAAGUCUGAUGUGAAAGCCCACGGCUCAACCGUGGAAGGUCAUUGGAAACUGGGGGACUUGAGUGCAGAAGAGGAAAGUGGAAUUCCAAGUGUAGCGGUGAAAUGCGUAGAGAUUUGGAGGAACACCAGUGGCGAAGGCGACUUUCUGGUCUGUAACUGACGCUGAGGCGCGAAAGCGUGGGGAGCGAACAGG
This 253-nucleotide ribosomal RNA is filed under the name uncultured bacterium. RNAcentral describes it as "partial 16S ribosomal RNA". It matches the Rfam family "Bacterial small subunit ribosomal RNA", at positions 524 to 776 of the family's 1533-position model. The record is from RNAcentral.